AUGAUGUAUCAUAGCUUUGAUUCAGCAGUCGAUGACCCUCAUAACUAUUAUCCAUCUGAGUUCCUUAACACUUUGACCCCUAAUGGGCUGCAUCCACAUGUAUUGAAGCUCAAGAUAAACUGCCCUAUUAUAUUGCUCAGAAAUAUUGACCCCUUGAAUGGACUUUGCAAUGGCACGAGGCUGGUGGUUCGAGGAUGCCAGAGGAAUGUCAUCGAUGCAGAAAUUGUGCUAGGGCAACAUGAUGGAAAGAGGAUCUUCUUGCCAAGGAUCCCCCUUUGUCCCAGUGACGACGAGAUGUUCCCUUUCCAGUUCAAGAGGAAGCAGUUUCCUAUUAGGCUCAGCUUUGCCAUGACAGUCAACAAGGCACGGGGGCAGACUAUCCCGAACGCGGUUAUAUACUUGCCCGAGCCAGUGUUCUCUCAUGGGCAGUUGUAUGUCGCGCUAUCUAGAUCCACUUCUAGAAAGAACAUCAAGAUCCUUAUCGCCGCGACUACAGACAAUGAGAAAAAUGUCUCAGAUGAUAGUAGAAGGAAUAGCUCAAAUUAUAGCAAAAAAAAGAGCUCCAACAAUAAGAAAAAGACCUCAGACUAUUGCAGCAUGAAUAGCUCAAAUUACUGCAAAAACAAGAGCUCCAACUGUCCUGUUGGUAAUUACACGAGGAACAUCGUCUAUAGGGAGGUACUUACAUCAUAG
Molecule: ribosomal RNA, 693 nt
Filed under: Triticum aestivum (bread wheat)
Lineage: Eukaryota; Viridiplantae; Streptophyta; Magnoliopsida; Poales; Poaceae
Description: partial small subunit ribosomal RNA
Source: RNAcentral